CGGCGGCCCUUUCUGAAGCGUUCCUUCCUGACGACUUGGGCCCCGCUUGCUCUUCCAGCAAGCGGGGCGUUUUUUGUCCGCAG
This 83-nucleotide unclassified non-coding RNA is filed under the name Bradyrhizobium sp. STM 3843. RNAcentral describes it as "suhB". The record is from RNAcentral. Lineage: Bacteria; Pseudomonadati; Pseudomonadota; Alphaproteobacteria; Hyphomicrobiales; Nitrobacteraceae.